Molecule: long non-coding RNA, 972 nt
Filed under: Octopus vulgaris (common octopus)
Lineage: Eukaryota; Metazoa; Mollusca; Cephalopoda; Octopoda; Octopodidae
Source: RNAcentral
GAAAUUGUCACCCAUAAUUAUGACCCUAGUAUCGAUUGCAUUUCAAUCUGUUUUAGGGUUAGGGGUGGGGGGAAAGGGUAUCUUUUUUUCUUCAGGAAUGUAAAUAAACCCAAUCUGUUCCUUAAACGAGGGACAUAUUCAUACGGCACAGAAUGUUUUCACCUCAAUAGAUGCCAUUGAUUGGUUGAAAUUGCAGAAAUUGAAGACAAAAAACCAACAAAUAGCUUACAAACUACAGAAUUUUCUCAAUAAAGCUAAGAGAAAAAUAUGUUUUAUGAACACAUUCUACCAGUAUACGAAGUUUAAAAGUGUUUAGUUACGUGGAAAUUAUUUUAAAAAACUGCCGGUCAAACCGAAAAGAUCCCCAAAAGGUAUCCAAGCAUUGUUCUUUAGAUGAGAGAGAAGUGUGAAGGAAGGACAAUGAUUGGACAGGAGAGAAAAUGACGUCAGAAACGGAUCGGAAGUGCAACGGCCUGACGUCACAUCAGGAAGAUAUAAGUCAAAGAUGCCUUCUUUCUUUCGGUGUCUGCGACGGGGUCCAGUUCGUGCGCUGGAAACGGUCGUAGAUUAGAAUAUGUGAGUGUAUAUAUUCUAUAUUACCUUGAAGGUAAAAUCGUUGACAGAAUGGGACAAAGAAGACACCGGAACGAAACGAACCAGUCAUAGAAAAUUGAAGAACUAUAACCAUAUAAAGGGAUAUAACUUUCCUUAAUUAAUUAAUUAAGGUGCUUAAUUAACGAUCACUGACUCGUUGUUUGUAUCUGAAUACGGUAAGUUGACAAAGAUUUAUUUUAAGGCUGUAAUGAUGAUGAUAAUACCAAUAAUGAUAAGGUACUACUAGCGAACAGUGGUCCCGGUGCGAGCACUCGCGUAUCCGCGCUUGCUAGUCGUAAGUAGUCGAUCCUACAAUUUUUAAAACUAAGUAAAUACAUUAUUUUUGUAAACAAACUAAGGUUAGGGUUAAAAAGUCGU